CCUACGGGAGACUGCAGUGGGGAAUAUUGCACAAUGGGGGAAACCCUGAUGCAGCGACGCCGCGUGAAGGAAGAAGGAUUUCGGUAUGUAAACUUCUGUCAGCAGGGAAGAAAAUGACGGUACCUGACUAAGAAGCCCCUGCUAACUACGUGCCAGCAGCCGCGGUAAUACGUAGGGGGCAAGCGUUAUCCGGAUUUACUGGGUGUAAAGGGAGCGUAGGCGGUUUAGCAAGUCAGAAGUGAAAGCCCGGGGCUCAACCCCGGGACUGCUUUUGAAACUGGUGAACUAGAGUGCAGGAGAGGUAAGUGGAAUUCCAAGUGUAGCGGUGAAAUGCGUAGAUAUAAGGAGGAACACCAGUGGCGAAGGCGGCUUACUGGACUGUAAAUGACGCUGAGGCUCGAAAGCGUGGGGAGCAAACAGGAUUAGAUACCCUGGUAGUC
RNAcentral lists this ribosomal RNA (440 nucleotides) under uncultured bacterium. RNAcentral describes it as "partial 16S ribosomal RNA". It matches the Rfam family "Bacterial small subunit ribosomal RNA", at positions 338 to 795 of the family's 1533-position model. The record is from RNAcentral.